GAUGAACGCUGGCGGCGUGCCUAAUACAUGCAAGUCGAGCGAACAGAUAAGGAGCUUGCUCCUUUGACGUUAGCGGCGGACGGGUGAGUAACACGUGGGUAACCUACCUAUAAGACUGGGAUAACUUCGGGAAACCGGAGCUAAUACCGGAUAACAUUUGGAACCGCAUGGUUCUAAAGUGAAAGAUGGUUUUGCUAUCACUUAUAGAUGGACCCGCGCCGUAUUAGCUAGUUGGUAAGGUAACGGCUUACCAAGGCAACGAUACGUAGCCGACCUGAGAGGGUGAUCGGCCACACUGGAACUGAGACACGGUCCAGACUCCUACGGGAGGCAGCAGUAGGGAAUCGUCCGCAAUGGGCGAAAGCCUGACGGAGCAACGCCGCGUGAGUGAUGAAGGGUUUCGGCUCGUAAAACUCUGUUAUUAGGGAAGAACAAAUGUGUAAGUAACUGUGCACGUCUUGACGGUACCUAAUCAGAAAGCCACGGCUAACUACGUG
This 497-nucleotide ribosomal RNA is filed under the name uncultured bacterium. RNAcentral's name for it is "partial 16S ribosomal RNA". It matches the Rfam family "Bacterial small subunit ribosomal RNA", at positions 28 to 507 of the family's 1533-position model. The record is from RNAcentral.